AGUGUGAAGGCCCUGUUCCCUAGGAAACUUUGUGAAUGGGAUUAAUUCUAUAGAUAGGUGAAUACUGUGCCCUAUUCAAAGGACCAUUCUAAUUAAUGAUUUAAAACAUUUUCCCUUUGACAGCACAACUCUACAGUAUCAACUGGUUUCUCGUACUUUUCUUACUAUUUCAAGAUCUAGUCCACCAAAAAGAAAUAUCUGCUAGGCAUGGUUGCUCACACCCGUAAUCCCAGUGACUCAGGGGGCUCAGGCAGGAGGAUCACAAGUUCAAAGCCAGCCUCAGCAAUUUAGCAAGUCCCUAAGCAACUUAGCAAGACCCUGAAUCAAAACAAAAAAUAAAAAGGGCUGGGGAUGCGGUUUAGUGGUUAAGUUCCCCUGGGUUCAAUCCCCAAUGUGGACGGGGGUGGGGAACAGAGAAAAAAAUAUCUGAGAUGGGUAAGCAUUGCAAAGAUUUUUCUGUGAAUAUUCCACAGCUCUUGAGGAGAAACAGAGCAAGCAUUUGAAAACUCGCUUAUGCCCUCUAGCUAGCUUUCUUUUGUUCUUUUUUAUUUGAGAGUACAGUCCAUCUAGCCCUUGAAUCUUAGCUGGUGGACAAGAAAGAUACAUUUGUAAAG
RNAcentral lists this long non-coding RNA (614 nucleotides) under Marmota monax (woodchuck). The record is from RNAcentral. Lineage: Eukaryota; Metazoa; Chordata; Mammalia; Rodentia; Sciuridae.